Molecule: long non-coding RNA, 12302 nt
Filed under: Triticum aestivum (bread wheat)
Lineage: Eukaryota; Viridiplantae; Streptophyta; Magnoliopsida; Poales; Poaceae
Description: long non-coding RNA (TAES_LNC026395)
Source: RNAcentral
GAUGUUGUAGAUAUUAACACGUUUAUCUAUGGACUUCUUGAAAUGUAGAGAAUUUUGACAUAGGACAAAAUUGUACAUCAUCAUAUUUGAAAUACAAAAUAUCUGCUCUAUCUACAUGAGCAUUGAUCUGCCAUAGGCCACCCAUUUUGCCUUGUUAUUUCUUUCUCGGAUCAUGGGACCCGAGUGGUGGAAGCUCCUUGUUGCCUUCGAGGUUUUGCCCACCAUCCCUUAUGCAUCGGCCGCUGUUUGAUGGGAGAAGAUGACUAGAGGCAGCGAAAGGAGGGAGAGGGAGGCGCUGAACAAUGUGGCAUAGGUUGAUGGUGAGGACAAUGAAGAGAAAGCGAGCAAUGUGAAGAGGAGGGUGACGAGGGGAGAAAACGAGAAGCUCCAUGUCAUUGCUCUCAAGAUGUGCUUGUCUAUGAAUUUCCGAGCUAUGUAUUAAAUUUGACAUGCAAUUCCACUAUGACUGAAAUAUGCAGGUAUUUGGUUAUUGUAAAUUUUAGUUGUGUUGUACAUAUCUUUAUUUUAGUAGUUCUGAUUAAGCUAUAUUAUUAGCGCCCCAUAAUCUUUAUCUACCUGCGUAUCUGUUAGAAUUGAAAUUGAUUUAUAAAAUAUCACAUCUCCAAUGUAAGUUAUUCAUAAUAUGGAAUUCCAUUGUUUAGAAUUUGAACCUUGUGUUCACAAAUAAAAUAUUGCGUAGAAUCAACUAAAUUUUGACCAAUAUUUUCCACAUAGCAGAAGCCACUUUGAGCUCCUCACCGUUUCAAGCUUUGAGCUCUUCUUCCUUUUGAUUUAUGUAAGAUACUUUGGAUCUUUGAUAUUCUGAACAUAAUAAUAUAUGGCUGUGUACGCAGAGGUUAAGCACACCUUUCCAAGAAAAAAAAACUUUCAGCUUAUUGGCGGGCCAAAAUAUACUCCCUCCAUCUGGAAAUACUUGUCGGAUACUUUGGAUCCGAGAAGUAUUUCCGAACGGAGGGAGUAGCUAUGUCGUGUGCAUGCCUUUGUAAAACGUUGGUACUUCAAAUUUUAGUCUUGUGUUUACACUAUUUAAUUUUCAAAGAUCUAUUUAAAAUUUAAUGAGUGUCGUUCAGGUGUCAACGAGAAACUUUUAUCUUGUUGGCAUAUUAAUUCAUGCAAGUGGAUCAAAUAUACGUGUACAGAUGGAAUUCAUUAACAAAAUGAGUUUUUAUUAUUUAUGCCACUAGUUGUGUCCCACUGCUCAGUUUUAUUAUUAGGAUUUUUAAAUUGCUAAAAAAUGUCAUCGGUCCGUUAGGCGCUUGCUAAAAAAUGCCACUAAACACCAUUACUGUUAGCUCAAAGUCCGUUUACCAUGUUAUAAUGAUCAAAAUACCCAUAGACCAACAUGUCAGCUAUUCCUCUAUCUCAGUACGAUAAAGUGUGGGUCUCACUUGAUCCCAACAAUGUUCUUAUUUUCCUCUAGAAUUAUCCGCUUGCUUACUCCUGACAAGUGGGGCUCACACUUGUCAUUGUGAGAUAGAGAAAGCUGGCAUGUGAGUCUAGGGGUAUUUUGGUCAUAUAAUCUGGUCAACGGGUUUGACCUGAAAAUAACGGUGGCUAAUGGCAUUUUUGAGGAAAUAUCUAAUGCAACGAAGGCAUUUUUUAGAUAUCAAAUGGCAUUUUUGAGCAAGCAUCUUACGGAAUGAUAACAUUUUUGCGCAGUUGUAACUUUUGAGGCAAAACUAAGUAGUGAGAUGCAACUAGUGGCAUAAGUGAUAAAACCCCACUGAGUAUGCUGUAAAAAAUUUCAACAGUGGCUAAUCCAGUUCAUGAGUUGUGUGCUGCAAAAAAUUGCAUGUGGAGAAUAAUUUAGAAGUCCAGAGUACUAGACCACUGUUAUGACCGGCAUAUUAGAGGCUUAGCCCAAUGAGUUGUGGCCCAAGUUAUCUUAUCACUAUUAGGGGCUUAGCCCAAUUAUCUUAUCGUUAUUAGGAUCGUUUUCUUAGAAGUCAAGUAAACCUCUCUAUAUAAGGAGAGGAGAUGUAUCAAUCUAAUCAAGCAAGAAGCAAUCAUUAUUUGAUCGGCUUCCCAAAGGGAGCCGGGAGACCUAACCCUAGCCACCUCUUGCGCCGCCUCUUCUUCAUCGCGCCACGGCGCCCCGCCGCCGGCAGCCGCGAUCGCAUCUCCGUCAACCCUCCCCCUUCCCGUACAACCUACGUCCUAGACCAGGUAGGAUCCUAGCUCCUACCAAUUUGGUAUCAGGUAGCUCGGUUCCGAUCAUGUCUGCACCACCACCCAAUCGGCCGUUGCCCGUCACCACCGCGCCGCUGCCCAUCACCACCGCGCCGCUGGCUCUCCCCACCGCGCCGCUGGACUCCACUGCCGGUGCCUCCACCGGCCAGACGCCGCCGCCCUCCACCGCGCCGCCCGUCGCCAUCUACUCGCCGGCGGAGAUGAACGGGAUUCUCAACGACCUCAUCACCGCCGUCCAGGGCAUACGCCUCUACCUGGCUGGGCCCUACGGGCAGUUACCGCCCUUGCAGCCGAUCGCCGCGACCGGGCCAACCACCCUGCCCUGGUACGCGGCCACCACAGCGCCGAUCGGGCCUCUACACCACCACUGGCCCGGUCAGCCGCCGCCCGCCGUCGCCCCCCACUGGCCGCAGUGGCCGGCUUCACUGAUCGCCGCGCCCUCGACGCCUCCUGGGUCCGGGCAGCCGCAGCUGUCGGCCCCGCCGCUGCCCGCUGCCGCGCCUCAAUGGCCACAGUGGCUGGCCCCGGCACUCGCUGCGCCCCCCAGGCCACCCGGGUCCGUACCGCCAUAGCUGCCGGUCCCGCCCCCGCCCAACACGGGGCCCGGGUCACCCACGUAGGGAGGCGUACCGAUCCAGCAAGUGCGCUUCCCGCCGUCACCGUCCUCCAUACCGGCCUGGCUAACCGGAUCAUCGCCGCCACCCGUCUACACGUCGGCUGGAGACACGCCGACACCCACUCUGCAGUUCGGCGAUCCCUCUGGCUCGGCGAGGCACUCCACGGACCGCGACCAUGCUGACCGGGUGCCCCAAUCCUCGCUGCUUCGCACCUCCGAGCCAGUCGGCCACGUCGCUCCGACUCAGAUACCGCUGCGGUUUGCCAAACUGGACUUCGCCACUUAUGACGGCACGGAGGAUCCCCUCAACUGGCUCAACCAGUGCGAGCAGUUCUUUCGUGGGCAGCGCACCCUCGCCUCGGAGCGUACCUGGCUUGCCUCUUACCACCUCCGCGGGACGACACAGACCUGGUACUACGCCCUCGAGCAGGACGAGGGCAGCAUGCCCCCUUGGGAGCGCUUCCGCGAGCUCUGCCUCCUUCGUUUUGGGCCACCGAUCCGCGGGAGCCGCCUGGCAGAGCUAGGCCGCCUUCCCUUUACCUCCACGGUUCAGGACUUCGCCGACCGUUUCCAGGCCCUGGCAUGCCACGCGUCGGGCGUAACGGCGCAGCAGCGGGCCGACCUCUUCGUCGGUGGACUUCCGGACCACAUCCGUGUGGACGUGGAGCUUCGUGGACCCUAGGAUCUCCAGACGGCCAUGUACUACGCCCGCGCGUUCGAGCGCCCACUACUAGGGAAAAGCCUAGCAGCAGCGCGGGCUUUAGGCCUAUCAGUAGCGCAGGGCGAUGCGCUACUGAUAAGGCGCUACAGCUAACGUAUAGCAGUAGCGUGCCUCCGCCCACGCUACUGCUAAAUCGACUUAGUAGUAGCGACUUCCCGGAGGGGCGCUACUGGUAAUUAGUAGUAGCGCUUCUCCCUGCCCGCGCUGCUACUACUAUUUCGUAUUUUAUUUCAUGUUGUAUUCGUACACCUUUACACAAGUUUUCAUACAACAGGAAUUUAGAAAUUGUUUUUACAUCAUAAUGAGUUAUUACAUCACGGGUGAAAGAACCGUGGACUAGUUUCAAGUGGAUGGACAUCCACUUAAAACUAAUCCGCGGUUCUUUCACCCAAUGAUAUAAUAAAUAUCAUCAUCAUCAUCAUAUCAUUAAUGACUUAUCAUCAUAAUACAUCAUUGUCAUAUAACACCUCCUCAAGAUCAUCAUUUUCAUCAAUGAGACAUCACAUAGCAAAUUGGUCACUAGUCGUAAUCACAAGUACUCCUCAUCAUCAACUCGAACACAUUGUAUCACAUAAUAAACAUAUUGUACCUCAUAGGACCUACUACAUUCUCUUAGGACCUACUAUAUUCUCUAAGGUAAAAUAGCAAAAAACAAGAUAGCUCCUGACUCUCCAUUAUGGAGAAUGGAGAUUAUCCUGUCUCCAAUUCUUGCCUUUCGCUUAAUGUUACUUCCAAGAACCUCCUUGCGAAUGUCCAAACAUUUUUUCCAUUCUUUGAUUAGCAUGUGUUCACCAGUUUUAGAAAUCCGAUAUGCACAGGUGAGCUCCUUAGAUUGACCUGGCUGUAUGUUCAUAACUGCAAGGCGACCAUUCUGAUACAUCAGAUGAGGCACACAAUCCAUCGGGAUUUCGUGUUGAAAAACAUAGUAAUAACUUUGUAGUUAGCAAUGAUGUACUAGUUUUAGAAGUAUGCAAAAGAUGCAGGAUGUCGUAAUAGUAAAAAAUCUUACCAGGGUAUCUCCAUAGAAGUUACCAUGGUUCAACACUUGCACUAGUGGCACGUAUUCACCAUAAUUUGGAGGAGUUCAAUAAUAGGUAUUGUAAUUAUCAAGAAAAGUACAAUAAGCAAUCAGAUGACUUUUCUCCUUAUAAGUUAAUUUGGAGCCAUCAUUGUAGUGGGUUUUGUCUACCAUCUUCUGCACAUUCUUUGAAUAUUCAAAAUAAGCUGUCAAUGGAAAUAAGCUGUCAACUAUUUUGAAAUAAAUAAUAUAAAUUAGUUAAUAACUAUGUUUGAGAAACUCACAUUGCGGUAGAAUCGGAAGCGUAUCAACAAGGACCCAAAUGUCCAUAUUGUCUUGCUCGAUGUCAGGAUUACCAAGAUCCAUGGUGACAAUCAUACCCUCAUAAAAACCAUACAUUUUGCAAAGUGCUUCCCAAUUUUGGCAACCAAAAUGGGUUACGCUCUGAGAAUUGUACAGAUUUACUUCAAAAUCGAUAUCAUGAUGGGUCCUUAGGUGUAUUUUCUUUGUUUCAAAAUUUUCAUGGUCUUCAAAACCCAUCCUCUUCAAGACAUAGCGUCUUGCAUGGCAUGGGAUAAGCUAGUCUAAUUGUAAAAGAUGAAAAUUAGACGUUGAAAUAGUUGAAGUCAUGCUUAAUUAUGAAAAAAACACUUGUCGUUGUUGCGUACCGUUUCAACAUCGAAGGUCUCCUCGAGCUUAAUGCUGAAGCGCUGAUCUUCAUUCAGCUCAACGAACCUGUCGCACAUACCUCGAUCGUUGUGGCACCAGCUGCACUCCCCCGGGAGAUUGUCAUCGUCCGAGUACGACAUUUCCUACGUUCAUAAUUCAAAGAUUAAACUUGUACAAUUAAAUAUAUGUACUAAAAAACCUAAAUUAGAUCAUUAUUUUUCGAGAAAAUCCAGGCCACUCGAUAUUUCCUACAUAUUCUAGCACAAGUCAUGCCAGAAUUCACGGAAAAAUCCGGCAUGAACUUUGCUAAAAAAGGACAUAUCGAGCGCCUGAAAUUUGCCGGAACAGAAAUUAAUCAACACUCCGGCAAAACAUAGGCCACUCGGAGGUGUAACCAAAACAUGAUCGGGCACUUCGGCAAAACACGCGCCUGAAACUCGAGCGCCUGAAGUUUUUAUCUACAUCAUAUAUAUCUUAUAGGACUCAUAUUGACAUGAAGAUUUGCCUGGUCUCACCUCGAAGUCGGAGGGGGUCGGUGAUGGGGACGACGGCGGGGAUGAUAGAGGGGCUCCUUGAUUUCUGCAAAAGCAAAAACCCUAUAAGUUAUCACCAAUACAUCCCGAAUAAUUACUUAAACUAAAAAAUAUCAACAAAUAUGACAUGUUCAACUAGUUCUAUUAAUUCAACUAGUUCUAUUAAUUCAACUAGUUCUUACUAAAUAUAAACUUACUAUAAAUAGAAAAAAACUAGUUCUUUCUAAAAAUAAAGUAGUUCAACUAGUUAUUUUAAUUUUCUUACUAAAAAUACAUUAGUUCUAUUAAUUCAACUAGUUUAUUAAUUUACUUACUAAACUAGUUCAACUAAAACUAAACUAGUUCAACUAAAACUAAACUAGUUCUAUUAAUUCAACUCGUUCUUACUAAAUAUAAACUUACUAUAAAUAGAAAGAAACUAGUACAUCUACUACUACUAAUUAACAUCUACUACUACAUCUACUACUAAUUAACAUCUACUACUACUAAUUAUAUAACUAGUUUACCAUCACUACUACUAAUUAAUAUCUACUACUACUAAAAACCAUUAUCUAUGAACCCUAAAUUAACAUNNNNNNNNNNCGGGAGACUGUCGUCGUCCGAGUACGACAUUUCCUACGUUCAUAAUUCAAAGAUUAAACUUGUACAAUUAAAUAUAUGUACUAAAAAACCUAAAUUAGAUCAUUAUUUUUCAAAGAAAAUCCAGGCCACUCGAUAUUUCCCACAUAUUCUAGCACAAGUCAUGCCAGAAUUCACGGAAAAAUCCGGCAUGACCUUUGCUAAAAAAGGACAUAUCGAGCGCCUGAAAUUUGCCGGAACGGAAAUUAAUCAACACUCCGGCAAAACAUAGGCCACUCGGAGGUGUAACCAAAACAUGAAAUAAUUGCUUAAACUAAAAAAUAACACCAAAUAUGGCAUGUUCAACUAGUUCUAUUAAUUCAACUAGUUCUAUUAAUUCAACUAGUUCUUACUAAAUAUAAACUUAGUAUAAAAAUAAAAAAACUAGUUCUUUCUAAAAAUGAAGUAGUUCAACUAGUUAUUAAUUUACUUACUAUACUAGUUCAACUAAAACUUAACUAGUUCAACUAAAACUAAACUAGUUCUAUUAAUUCAACUAGUUCUUACUAAAUAUAAACUUACUAUAAAUAGAAAGAAACUAGCACCUCUACUACUACUAAUUAACAUCUAACUACUACAUCUACUACUAAUUAACAAGUACUGCUGCUAAUUAUACAACUAGUUUACCAUCACUACUAGUAAUUAAUAUCCACUACUUCUAAAAACCAUUAUCUAUGAACCCUAAAUUAACAUCUACUACUACUAAAAUCAUCUACUAACUAAGCAAAGAGAGAGNNNNNNNNNNNNNNNNCGGCGGUGAGGUCGAGGGCGGCGGCAGUGAGGUCGAGGGCGGCAACAGUGUGGUCGAGAGCGGCGGCGGUGAGGUUGAGGGCGGGCUCGGGCGGCGGCGGUGAGGGCAGGCUCAGGCUCGGGCGGCGGCGACAUGAGUAGGGGAACAGGGGAGGGGGAAGGAGGACUUUGCGAAAUUUUGAGUCGGAGGGUGGUUAAGUCGAACUAGCAGUAGCGCUCAUAAGGAAAACGCGCUAUAGCUAACUUAUCUAUAGCGCGUUUUAGAGAAAAACGCUACUGCUAAUGGAAGCAGUUAUUUCUUUUGUUUAUCCCAAUAUCAGUAACGCUUUGUCCUGAAAAAACGCUAUACGUCUAAGCAAUGUAAAAACAUCAAAAAUAUACAUUGGUCAUCAUUGAUCUUUUUGUGUAGAAUCUAAAUAGUCAACAUGAAUCCUCACUGUACCUGUAUAGGUACAGGCGAGGAUUCAUAUUGCAGCCAUAAAUCAUACACAUAUAGUUCAAUGAAGACCAAGUGCUCGAGAUAGGUUGAGAAGUAACAUAUUUAAGGUGGUAAAUACCUUGUUCGCUUAGCAGUAUGGGACUAAACUUAAUUAGUUGCGGUGAUACUUAGCAGCAGCGAGUUUUGAAGAAAAAACGCUGCUACUAAGUACUUUAGCAGUAGCGCGUCCCUCGGAAGGGCGCUACUACUAUAUCUAGCCUAGAGGCAACACCGUGGCAAUUAUAGUAGUAGCGCUCGUUUCACCUAGAGCGCUACUGCUACUUAGAUAUUAGUAGCGCUGUUUGCUGAAGCUCGCUACUGCUAAUUAGCAGUAGCGUCUGUUUUUAAACCAUGCUUCUGCUAAGAUUCUGUGUAUAAGGUUUUCCCUAGUAGUGGCCACGCGGUGGCCAUCCAGCAGGAAUCACCGUUCCGGGCCGCCGGGUCGCUACCCUGGCCGGAUGUUCCCGCGUAGGCUCGGCCUGCUCAGGCUUCCAUGGCACCCUUCGCCGCGACCGCGGCGCGCCCGUUCCGCCGGCUCACCUCGGCCGAGCUACUCGAGCGGCACCGUCAAGGGUUGUGCUUCAACUGCGACGAGCCCUACACGCCUGGCCACAUCUGCUCACGACUCUUCUACCUGGAGGCUUCAGACUACAUUCUGGUGGACGCCGUCGCCGCCGACCUCGCCGCCCCAGCUGUCGCCAAGGUGUUUGACACUGGUUGAUCACCUCGGGGAGUUCAGCAAGCGCUUCCCCACCUUACAACUCGAGGACGAGCUGUUUGUACAGACGGGAGAAGUGUUAUGACCGGCAUAUUAGGGGCUUAGCCCAGUGAGUUGUGACCCAAGUUAUCUUAUCAUUAUUAGGGGCUUAGCCCAAUUAUCUUAUCGUUAUUAGGAUCGUUUGCUUAGGAGUCAAGUAAACCUCUCUAUAUAAGGAGAUGAGAUGUAUCAAUCUAAUCAAGUAAGAAGCAAUCAUUAUUUGCUCGUCUUCCCAAAGGGAGCCGGGAGAUCUAACCCUAGCCGCCUCUUGCGCCGCCGCCGCCUCUUCUUCAUCGCGCCACGGCGCCCCGCCGCCGGCAGCCGCGAUCGCAUCUCCGUCAACCCUCCCCUUCCCGUACAACCUACGCCUUAGACCAGGUAGGAUCCUAGCUCCUACCAACCACCAACCUCUUAACCUCUACUUGUGUGCACAAUGUUUUCCUAUAUAUACCACAGAAACCUUCACUUACUGAACAAGGAUAACUUCUGAUAUGUACCACUUCGUGUUCAAUAGACUAGCUUGCCUUCUAUAUUUUAAUGUGUUGGAAGCAUCAACUAAUUUAUUUCAUUAAAUAGGUAAAGGGAGUGUUAGAGAAGAGUGGAAAACAUAUGAGAAAACCUAGGAAUAUGAGACAUCAGGAGCAGUGGCUGAACUAGCUGACUUGGGACCAGACCAAGCUAAAUGGAACCUCUGUGUCAUCCGUGAUCGUAUUGCUGAUGCUAGAUAGACUGAUGGUUCCAGUUAUCCUGUCCCUAACAAAGUCCGUUUCUUAGGAUGCCUGCUGCACUUUGAUGGGGUAAGCAUUGAAGCAGACCUCUACUACAAAGGAGUACAAACUGUGGUGGUACCUAUACAAACUAUGGUGGUACCACCAUAUAUAGAAGCAAAGCGAGAAACGAUCGUCAUAUGCUACAAUAGUUUAACCGUGAGAAGCAUGGAUGGUUUCAUUGUUUUCUUGGUGCCAGGCUAUCAACAGUAUUGAACAAUCUGUUUUUUCUUUUCUUGUUUGUGAAGCCAAUGUUCCCAUUAGUAUAUUAUACGAAAGAAGUACUCACCUAAUCUUGUCUUAAGUAAAACCUGUUUAAGUUUAUAUGGUAAAAAUAUAGACAUCUAUAAUAUUUAUUCAUGUGCCUAGUAUUAAUCCAUUGAUUCUCUGGAUUGAUAGGCCCAUUUUGAGGUGUAAGGCAUUUCAAGAUGUUCAUGCAGUCCUGUGUCGUUUAUCACACUUUGCAGCAAAAAUGGUGGGAUGCUAUUACGAGCAUGUACAGUGCUGAGAAGUGCAAAAAAUGAUAGAAAGUUGUAAAACUAUGUUGCACCUGUGUCCAUAGAAACUAAUGAUGCAUUUUUCUGAGUGCAAGAUACAUUAAUUGGUGAAUUUGAAUAUGUUGAUGAUCACAUGUCUGGUAUGACAGUUUUGAAGCUGAAUGGAAGAUUGAACAAGUGUGGUGUCAUCAGUCCACGCUUGGACCUUGGAGAUCGAGUCCUGGACUGCAAUGCUGGUCCCCUCACCUCAGCUGGUUAGUCUGUAGAAAACAAGCCUGUAACCUAUGUGUUGUCAAACUUUCAGGAGUGUCUCCUGAGGGCUUGAUUUUGGACGGAUCAUUCUUACCACAUCUGCUGGUAUCAUGGAUCAUGAGGAAGCAAGAAUGUGCGAGAAAAGGUUCAGGGUUUUUUCUACUUUUUUCAGAAAGGUUUUUUCUACUAGGAGAAAGAAAGAUUUGAGCUGGUCUGGUUCAUGUCCUUGUGAUAUCUAGCCUGGCCUGGAGCGUGCAUGGAAAAUCCUUGAAGUCGUUUGGUUGCUGUCCUCACAAAGCCUGGGGUGGCCUGGCCUGAAAUAGCAUCGAAGUGAUGGGCCUGGUUAGAGAAGCCAGGGAUGUGUUUAGCCUGGUCUAGGCCUAAGGAGUCGAAUGCCUGGAGGCUGCCUGGGUCGUAAAUACAGAAACUGCACUUCCUAAUAACUCUCCCAGCCACGGCAGGCACCAAACAAAUUUUAGACUAGGCUGCCUGACGAGGCAAUAAUUUUCCAAGGUUCAACUCUACACUAGGCAGCAGUUGCGCCCAGGCACGAAGCCGUGAACACAAACGAAACUAGCCAUUUCUGCUAUUUGCCCACUUUUUCUUCAGUUUGAGUAAGUUAGUUCAUUCUUCAGUUUGCAAGCUGCAAUCAUUUUUUUUCCAGUCAGCCUUUCAUUUUUUAUUAAUAUUUCAUCAGCCUUUGUUCCCCCGUCCGCAAAAUUGCACAACUCUUGCACUUAUCUUCUAGCAUUUUCUUACAGCCGAGAUUGAGUAUGCAUGUUCAAUUCUUGAGUUAGUUUUCAUUCUAGGAAUUCUAGUUUUUAUUCGUUCUUGUUUCCAAAUUUAAUUCUGCAAACACUGCCUUAAUUCUUUGAACACUCUCUGAUGCCCUUCUCUAACUCUAUCUCCACAAUGGCACACUUUAUUACCAAUCUAGCAUAAUAAGUAAACAUCAACAAAGAUGGUUUUGUGGUAGUGGUAGCUACUUUUUUUAGAUCCAUGUGCCAUUCUUUCAGUCAUUUGUUUAAUGGCUAGCUGAUAUGUGGUAUGUUGUGAAAACUGUGCACCACGUAUAUGCAAAAUAGUUAUAAAGUGAAGACUACUGCACCACCAACAUCUAAAUGUGUGCACAAUGCUUUUCUUACAUAUAUACCACACCAACCUUCACUCAAGGGGAAAAGGUUCUGUCAUGAUAUAUACCAAUACGUCUGCAACAGAAUAGCUCCGCUGUCCCAUGCCAUUUUAGCGAGUUGGUUGCACUAACUUACUGCAUCUAAAAGGUGGUAGGCACAUAAAUAGAUCCGAGGAGUAGUGUUGGUAGAACUAACUUACGGCAUCAAAUAGGUGGUAGUAUUAUAAACAGAUCAAAGGGAGGGCCUUGGUAAGAUUAACUUACUGCACCAAAUAGGUGGUAGUAAAAAUAAAUGGAUAAAAGAGAGCGUGAGAGAAAGAUGCAAGAAUAGAUGGGAAUAGGAGACAUCAGAAACAUUUGCACGUUCUGGGUGACUUAGGACCAGAGUGACCAGGUUGAUCUUGAUCAGUGCAAGGUGUAGAAGCUUCCUUUCUGUUGAUCGACCUUUUAUUAGGGUUCAUCUGGCGGGGUCUUUGGGUACCUUUACUUCAGCGUGAUUCACCUGUGUGGUAGAAUCAUUUUGAGAGGCCACUCCUGAAAUGUUUGAUGUUGUAGAUAUUAACACAUUUUUCUAUGGACUUCCUGAAAUGUAGAGAAUUUUUACAUGGAACAAAAUUGUGCAUCAUCAUAUUUGAAAUGCAAAUUAUAUGCUCUAUACCUCUAUCUACAUGAGCAUUGAUCCGCCAUAAAAUAUUCCACAAAAUUUGCCUUGUUGUUCUUUCCCAGAUCAUGGGACCCGAGUGGUGGAAGCUCCUUGUCACCUUGGAGGUUUUGCCCACCAUCCCUUAUGCAUCGUCCGCUGUUUGAUGGGUGAAGAUGACUAGAGGGCAGGGAAAGGAGGAGGGAGAGGGAGCUGCUGAACAACGCGACAUAGGUUGAUGGUGAGGACUAUGAAGAUAAAGGGAGCAAUGUGAAGAGGAGGGUGAUGAAGUGACAAAAUGAGAAGCUCGAUGUCAUUGCUCUCAAGAUGUGCUUGUCUAAGAAUUUGAGCUAUAUUUUAAAUUUGACAUGCAAUUCUACUAUGACAGAUAUAUGCAGGUCUUUGGUUAUUGUAAAUUUUAGUUGUGUUUUACAUAUCUUUAUUGUACUAGUUCUGUUUAAGCUACAUUAUCAGUGCCCCAUAAUCUUUAUCUACUAUGUAUCUGUUAGAAUUGAAUUUGAUUUCUAAAAUAUUCCAUUUCCAAUAUUUAUAUUUGGAUGCCACAUGAAAAUGGAAGUUAUUCAUAAUAUAGAAUUCCAUUGUUUAGAAUUUGAACCUUGUGUUCACAAAUAAAAUAUUGCCU